Molecule: long non-coding RNA, 5019 nt
Organism: Anneissia japonica
Lineage: Eukaryota; Metazoa; Echinodermata; Crinoidea; Comatulida; Comatulidae
Exons: 6
Source: RefSeq, a predicted model, not a curated record
CAGCGGAGGAGGGUGUGAACUGAGAGAGACACAGCGGGUCUUACAAGUGGAUGUCAUAUUCCUGACGUCCAUGGAUACAAAACAAAAAUUGUUGGCGCCAUUAAGUUUCUGCGCCAACACUGCAAAUAAUUGUUAGGCCUUUUUUGGGAUUGAUUAAACGUUAUUUGACUUUUUGGCAUCUAUAUCUAAUCUUCCCUAUCUUAUUUCAUUUCAUUGCAUUUCAUCUCAUUUCAUUUUAUUCGAAUACAACAACUUACAUCUACUUUAUUCUAUUAACAUGCACAUAAUCAGCACAUAAUUAUUUCGUAGGUUUUAUUUUUAUUACUGUUAUUUUAUUUAAAAUAUUUUAUUAUACUGUCGUAAUGUUAGAUUUUUUUAAUCCUUAUUAUAGGUUUUUUUUUUUAUUUUAUUGUUGUUUUACUAUUUUAUGUUUAUUAUUGUUAUUACGUAAAUUUCGUAGAGGCCACUAGUCAAAUUUCAAAUACGAAAUUAGUGAAAUUUUAUAUUUGCCAACUGGAGUCUUUCGACGUUUGCGCCUUUUUAUCCUCCUUGACGGGCUGAUUUGAUGAACGCCAUCGCGUCUUCGAGCAUCCAAGCAUCAAUCAUAGUAAGAACUAACAUGUAUUGAAACCAAGAAGCUAAUAUAUAGACCUAUAUAAUACCUUUUUGGUUAAAAUGGGAUGUUGCAUCCAUUUCUACUAACACACAGGUGUAGACAUUAGGCUUUCUUUUUCAGGGCAACGAAGCUAAUAAUAGUUAUGGUGGAGAUCUUGUUGAUACUAUGCAAUGUUAAUACUUUAUAGGAAACUUGGCUAGAUUGUAUAUUUGAAAAAAAAGGUUUAAUGAUGUUACAGAAUUGCAAUGAUAAUAUAGAUGAACCAUGGAUUCCAUGGCUAAACUUCAGUAGGUAUUAAAAUCUCCAUGCUAGGCCACUGUCACUAAAUGUUGAUAGUCUGACAACAUUAGAUCAUAUAUCCAGCAACUUUUUGACAUCAUCAAUUUAUCAUACUAAACAGCAUCAACUAGACUAUUUAUGAAUGUAUGUAUUAUGAAAAUAUUGAACUAACACUUAGGCCGAUAUAAAACAGUUGUUGUUUAAUUAUGUUGAUUAUAAUGCAAAUGUGACGGGACCACAGGUAAGUUACUAACACAGCAAGACAUCGCCUCGAGCAUCCAAGCAUCAAACCAAGUAAGUGAACUAAUCACUAUAGGAUUGUUUGUGUAGAAAAAAAAAACAAUCGUACUAAUAUCCUACCCAAUGCCCAUCUUGUAUUUUUAUUUAUUUAUUUUAUUAUUCGUGCCGAUAGUUGGUUAGGUCAGUAUUUGAUAAUGGUAGCAGGUGCUGCCUCAAUGCGUCUUCAAUUGUGUACCUACGAAAUUGUUGCAAUAAAACUGUACAAACAACUGUGUCUUGUCUAUUUGUCCGUGUCUUUUUGUUUAUCACACCAUGAUGAUUACCCACCCCCCACAUACCAAACAUUGUAUCCCUAUGAAUUUGUUUCAAUAAAUCGAUGCAUUAGAACAUGCGUUUAUGACUCGUUUAUUUAACAUCUACAGAAGUGUUUUUGUUUGAAUCUGUUACGAAUUGUAAUUUUGUAAAAUCAAUGUAAAACAAUAGUAAAUGGAAUUCAUUUACCAUUGUUAAAUUUCAAUGUAUGUAAAUCCAAGAUGUAUAAUAACUAAUAGCAUGUCUUUUAUUUCAGAAAUAUUAAUUUUGUUUUCCAUGGACAGAGCAAGGCGACAAAUACCUUGUGCAUCACAGGUCUUUAUCGCCUAUGCAUGUGUGCGGAAUAAAUAAAUAUAUGUUCAAUCCUUAUUUUAUAACUUUGAAGUUCAUUUCAUUUCAGAAAAAAAAAAUGAUGCUUGGGAAAUAUGUUAGCAUACUGAUUGGAUGGUGGUACUUAUGCCGAUGACUAAUUAUCGACGUGGAAUGAGAAUGAAAAAUAUUAAUGAUGAUUGUGAUGAUGACGGAGCGAUGAAUAUUUAAUAGUGACGAUUAAUACAGAUUUUAAAGUUGUGAUUAGUUCAUAUGAGUUUCUGUGAGUUGUGAUUUAAGCCGAUUACAAUAUACUAUAAUGAAAAAUGAUGGCGAUGAAUGACAGUGAUGACGAUUAACGAUAAUGAAAUGGUGUAUCUAAACUUGCAAAGGUAAGUUGUGAGGUAAUGUUUGAAUGUCUGAAAGUUUCCAAGGCGACUUUGUGGGGUUGUGAAAUGACGUGAUGUAAAACUAGAGCAAUAAUAACAGGCCAUACCUAUAAAUUAUAUUGUUUUCAUUUUAGAAAAAGAAAAAACACAAUAUUGAUAAUGCAUGUUUUCCGAAUAAAUCAAAUCAAUUUGCUAUGUGGAGUAGUGCCUCUUCUGAUGGACAACUGUGUUCAUGGGGACGACGAUAACGAUGAGAAUAACGAGGAUGUUGUAAUGAUGGCGAUAUAGAUGAUACAGUGAUAACGAUGGUGAUGAUGAAAUGGUAGACCUGUACUUGAAAAUUAGUGCUUGUGGACUGUUCUCCGACCUGACUGUAAUGUAGAGUGAUCGAUUUAAAAACAGGAAAUAUGUGGACGUCGAUGGUUAAUAUUGAUGGAAUGGGGAUGGACGUCUAUGAUAUUACUAAAGAAAGUUGAUGAUGCUAAGAAAGAAACCUGGUGAUUUUGAUAAUGAUGCUUGUGGAUAUAUGCUAUGAUUGUCUGGCGGUUCUUCUGCGAAUGGAUAAUUUAUCGAUUUUAAUUGAAAACAAAAGUUGCAGUGAUGUUGAUGGUGGUGAUGAUGAUUGUAAUGAUGAUGGUGUUAGCGAUAUAUACAUGUAGACCUUUCAUAUCGACAUGAAAUGAAUAUUGAACGAAUCCGAUGAUAUAAUUCAUGAUAACGAGGAUGUUGUUGCUGAUAAAGAUGGUGAUAGAGAUGACGUUAAAACAAUAACGACGAUGAUAAUUUCACGGUACUUGAUUACUAGUAUUACUCUUGAAGAUUUACUUUUGCUUAUCCUCUUAUAUUGGAUACAAAUAUGGACUGCAAAGUUUUGGUGGUUCCUGUGAGCUUUUAGUGAGUUGUGAUUUGAGUUGAUUAACAGACUUUGCUAUUAAUUACAACAUAAUAAAAUGACAGAUGACGGUGAUGAUGUUUGAAUGCAAUAGGGCUAUUGGGAUAUGCAUAGGCCUGUAAAUUUUACAACAUAAAAUUGUUUUCAUUUCAGAAAUGAAAUAAUAAUAGUAAUGAUUGCGAUUUUCAGACUAAAUUGCUUCAACGCGUUUCUUUUGAUGGUGAAUAUUGAGGACGAUGAUAAUCAUAACGAAUAUGAUCUUAUAUAAUGAUGGCGAUAUAAUGAUCUUGGUGACAAUGAAAUGGUAGACCAGUUUGUAAAGGUUUACGCAGUACAUUAUUUGUAAACACAGUGCAACAGAAGUGGUUGAUAUGCAAGGCCUUGAAUUCUUGUGAACUGUCGCCGACUUCAACAUACUGAAACUGUGUGCGAUCGACUAAAAAAGGGAUCUACUGGUGGACAUUGGUGGAUUAAAUCUUGAUUUUACUAAAGGAAUUCGGAGUGAUCAAGCUAAUACCAGUACUGACCCAGGAAGCAAAUUUUGUUUAGUUUAUCAGCAGAAUAACAUCCGUUCAGAUGGAAUGAGCCAAUCUGGUCGAUUUAAUUUAGAGAUGCCGAGUAUUUUUGCCAAUAACCUAGAACGUACAAUUAGAUAUUAUGGUAAAAAGCAUUUGUCAUUGCAGUUGGUAAUAUUAAAUAUAGGCUAUAUAAUAAUAUUUAAUAAUAAUAAUAUUUAAAAAAAUAUUUUUUAUUAAAAAUAAAAGCCUACAUUUAAAAUAAUUAUUAACAACCGUACGAAUACAGUAUUCAUCAAUACAAUUACUUUGUUCGUUUUGUAUAUUUGUCAUCAUCCAUGUAUUUGUUUGUUUCGUACAUUACUGUUUGAUAUCACUUUCAUCAUUUCAUUUCGCCCUAACCUAGUCCACCCUCUCUCAUAUCUACCUCAAUUUGGCCUAUAGAUAGGUCGUAGUUUAAGGUGUAGAGUUAGUAUUAGCUAGGUUAAAUAGGUCGUAGUUUAAGAUGUAGAGCUAGUAUUAGCUAGGUUAAAAAAGUAGAUUUCCUUCCUAGAUGAGAGAGGAAUGGGCAAUGCAUUAACCUCCUUCAUCAACAUCAAUUCAAUGUAUCGAAUCAUUUUAUUACCGUACUGUAUCGUAUUGUGUUCGUCCAAAAAUACUAUUGAUCAAUAAAAACAUAUAAAAUAAAGACACAAAUAAUUAUAAAUUUAAAAGUAUAACAAUUGCAAUGACAUGUGCUGAAAUAAUGUCUUAAUAUGAUAAAUUAACUGAUAUCAUUUGCUAUAUAUUCAGUUGUAAUAAUUGUGAUGUUGAUGCAAAUAAAAAUUAUUAGUAAGGCCGAUAUUAUGCUUAGUUGUAUAUAUUUUUCACACCAGCAUUAUGAGCAUAUUAUUAAACGUUGGAUGUUAAACCUAUACCUAAAAUUAAAAAUCCUUGAACGACUUCCGACGUCUUGUUAACUUCAAACAUUUCAUUAUGUUCGAAGAUCAGAAAGUAUCCAAGGAAUAACAAAAGCGGCAUGGCCACUGUGAUCCACAAGGAUGUGCUAUAAUAAUUAAUUUGCAUACUGUAAAAACAGAGGAACUGAUGCCUUUUGUAUUUCUAAAUAAUGUAAACAUCUGCAAAAGCCAAGAGCUUUUGUAGGGUCAGUUUCUCAACAUUUUUCAACAACAUUAUUAUUCCACAGUAUUGCUAGAUUAAUUUGAGUUUGAUUUCGAUCCUAGAAUAAAAUAUUAAAUUAAAAUGUUAAAUGUAAUAAUAUAAGGUUAUAUAAACUUGACUCCAUUCACCUUCAUAAUGGCAAUGUUAAUAGAUAAUUCUGGUGCAAUUUUGGCCUAAUUUAAUUAGGUUUUAUAUGUAGUAAUAUUUAAUAAUGUUUAAUAUUCAUUGUAUGUAUGCCUACAUCUUAUGACUUUAAUUUGUUUGGUGCUUGUUUUAUAUCCUUGUUAUUGUUUAUUUAUUACUGUG